CCGGAAAUCUUACCGGGACCGACAGCGAUCUCCCCUAAGGGGGGAGGAGGUUGGGGGAGGAGNNGAGAGGGGGUUUUUGGGGGUGNGUAGUUAGUAGUGUGAAGAAUNNUGUUAAGUGAGGGAAUGAGGGAGAUCUAUGCCCACAGUUGCCAGCGUACUCUCCGGAGUGAUGGGUACACUGUGGGGACCGCCGCUGCUAAAGCGGAGGAAGGAAUGGGCAACGGUAGGUCAGUAUGCCCCGAAUAUCCCGGGCUACACGCGAGCUACAAUGGUUGGUACAAUGGGUAUCUACCCCGAGAGGGGAUGGCAAUCUCCUAAAACCAAUCUUAGUUCGGAUUGAGGGCUGCAACUCGCCCUCAUGAAGCUGGAAUCCGUAGUAAUCGCGUUUCAACAGAACGCGGUGAAUACGUCGCUGCUCCUUGCACACACCGCCCGUCAAACCACCCGAGUAAGGGUCUGAAUGAGAGCGCUUACCAAUCGGAGGCGUUCGAAUUUGGGCUUUGCUAGGGGGG
Molecule: ribosomal RNA, 512 nt
Filed under: uncultured archaeon
Lineage: Archaea
Description: bacterial SSU rRNA
Rfam family: Archaeal small subunit ribosomal RNA
Source: RNAcentral